CUGCUAAAAAGGUUAGGCCUCACUUGAAAAGAACAAGUGAACGGCGAAAGCUGGGAGGAAACCAGAGCAAACCUGCCCAGACAUGGGGAGAAUGUGCAAACUCCACACAGAGAGUCACCCGAGAGAAGAAUCGAACCUGGAUCCCUGCCAUUAUGAGACAGCUGGGCUAAUCGCUGAGCCACUGUGCUGAGAAUUGUUGAAUUCUUUCAACUGGGACCUGAACGCAUUUCUUUCUAAGGUACUUGGACCUAAGAUGGCACCGUAAGAGAUAACUAUGUCAAACUUUCACCAUACUCCUGCAUUUCUGUACUUGAGUAUACAUGACUAAAAAGGUGUAAGAUCAA
Molecule: long non-coding RNA, 344 nt
Organism: Stegostoma tigrinum
Lineage: Eukaryota; Metazoa; Chordata; Chondrichthyes; Orectolobiformes; Stegostomatidae
Exons: 3
Source: RefSeq, a predicted model, not a curated record